Molecule: non-coding RNA, 1777 nt
Organism: Pelobates cultripes (western spadefoot toad)
Lineage: Eukaryota; Metazoa; Chordata; Amphibia; Anura; Pelobatidae
Source: the annotation of a GenBank genome assembly
CGUAAUUGGAGUACUUUGGCGCAGUGGUGGGCUGCAUACAUCUAUGCCAUUUAUGUAUGUCUAAAUCUCCAAUGUUUAUUGCACAUAAUACAUAGUUAUGUCUCCUCUUGUUGUGAUGUAUAUAUCUGGUCUUGUUUUAUUUUGUAUUCUCAGUCCAUGUACAUUCCUGUCCUGCCCUGUUCUUGUUUCCCUCAUGUUUUGUGUACAUGUUCUGGGUUUUGCUUUCUAUCCUUCUCUGGUUCUGGGUUCUACAAGUUUUGUUUUGUUUUCUUGUUUGGUGCCUGUUCUAGUCUUGCCUUGUUUAUAGUACUGGAUACAUACCUGCUGCAGAGCCUCCCUAUCCAGAACAGGGAGGUCUGCAUAUUUUCUCCUAGUUCCUGGGAUCUGCAGAAGUUGCAUCAGGGCCCUGGUAUGUGGCCACACAAAUCCUGGUGCUCAACACCAGGGGGCGUGUGGUUAGCCUGCACUAGGCUCUGAUUGUUUCAUUUCCAAGAGGUUGACUCCGAUCAUCAUCAGGCACGCAGGGGUCCCUGUGUCCGUACUGCCACCCGUGACAUAAAGCCAGCCAAAAGGUCUGAGAGUUCCUGAAGAAAUCUCUUCCCAUCUCCUGGGGGUCUAUAUAUUAACAGUAUCUGGAAUCCUCUAUAUAUUGAGAGGCUAGCAGCUCUGCAUUCAAAAGAUUGGGGUUUGUAGACUGAUAUUGGUCUGGGAUUUAAGGAUGAUUUCGCACAGAUCAUAACUACACCUCCCUUGCGAUCUUGUCUCGGGCAGUGGAACACCGUGUAAUUGCCUGGAAUAUCUGCCCCACAUUUUCAUCUAGCUAUGAUUAUGUAAUGCACGCAAAUUUGCAUGUUUCAAUAAUGUCAGCAAUAAUAGCUGUUUUGUUCCUUAUUAAUCUGGCAUUGCACAGGAUUGAUCUAAUAGGACAAUCUUGGUAUUCUGAGUUUUUGUUCUGUACUUUGGAAACAGCGUGUCUUCUAAUGGGGAUCACACAGUGAGGUUUCCUUGAUUUGAUAGUGCAUCUUUUGUGGCUUCUAGGUUGAAUCACUCCAAUUAAUCUUGCAGGUAGACAGGGUGGUGGAGCAGCUGUGAUAGUGUCAGGAGAUUGAACUUUAAGUUUUGAUUUUCCUCCACUACAGCCCCUGUCAGUCCCUUUGAAGAUGCCAAGUUAUUUUAGGGUAACCACUAGAGGGGGGGCUGAGUGCAGCGACCGCUUUUUGGGGUCUUAGGGAAUACAGAAAUGAGGGAGUAUGGUUGGUCAUUCCCUCAGCAGUGAAGGAGUUAAAAAAACUUCUAGUUCUUGUAGGUAUAUUAGCAGUGGGAGCUGGUUACAUUGCUCUGUUCUAUAGAAUUAAGGCCAGAGUGAGGUGUGAGAUUUUGCACUUCAGGCGGCAUUGUAGAUAACAGAUAAGAAAGCAUGCAUGCAGGUCAGAUUACAGGAGUUCAAAACCGAUGUGUUUUAGUGAAAUAGUUUUCAUCAAUUAGAUUUCUUGGUGUUUAGAAAUGCAAUUUGAGCAUUGCUGAAUGGAUGAUCAAAUGAUCAAAUCAAAAAACCCAAUUUACACAUGGAAGUGAGUCAUUUUUUUUUCAGUUUAAUUGUACCUUGUUUGUGGUGUUUAACUGAAGGUUUCUCUUCCUGAUAGUAAGAUGGUCCAGUGGAGGCUAGCACUUUUAUGGGUGGAGGUAACUGUAUCGAUAACAGAACUAUAUAGCACAGCAACGAAGAGAUGCUGAAAACUCAUGAGAACUUUGAGAGGGCUACGUUGCAGUAAAAACC